This 370-nucleotide ribosomal RNA is filed under the name uncultured organism. RNAcentral describes it as "bacterial SSU rRNA". It matches the Rfam family "Bacterial small subunit ribosomal RNA", at positions 526 to 896 of the family's 1533-position model. The record is from RNAcentral.
CGUAGGCAGCGAGCGUUGUUCGGAGUUACUGGGCGUAAAGCGUGCGUAGGCGGUUUUGUAAGUCUGGUGUGAAAUCUCCCGGCUCAACUGGGAGGGUGCGCCGGAAACUGCAAGGCUGGAGUAUGGGAGAGGUAGGCGGAAUUCCUGGUGUAGCGGUGAAAUGCGUAGAUAUCAGGAGGAACACCUGUGGUGUAGACGGCUUACUGGACCAUGACUGACGCUGAGGCACGAAAGCGUGGGGAGCAAACAGGAUUAGAUACCCUGGUAGUCCACGCCCUAAACGAUGCAUACUUGGUGUGGGCAAUUCAUUUUGUCCGUGCCGGAGCUAACGCGUUAAGUAUGCCGCCUGGGGAGUACGGUCGCAAGGCUG